AAUUUCGUAGCUGUUACUAUGGUCUUUCCUUUUCCUAAAUACAUACAUGAGUUUUGUUGUACCAUAUAUUGCUGUAAAAGCUAUGAUAAUAUUGCUCCUCCGUUAUGGCUACUGUGCAUUAUAAAAUCCAGAACAACUUUUUUGCUUUGAUGCCUAACUUGAUCUGGAGUUCUUAUUAUCUGUUUGAGGGUCGAGCCAACCUGGCCAGCUUAUGUCAGAAUCGAUAAUUGAUCAAUCGAAUAGUUUGGAAGGCCUCUAGUUAUGCUGAUUGAGAAGCCACAUUAUAGCCGUAUAGGUAUGGCUCCCAACAUUUGGAGAAUUUUCAGCUGAAUUAUAUCCAAUCUGUGACCUUCUAGACCUGCAAGCGAGAACAUGUGUAAGGUAUGUUAUGUGAAGAAGAUCAUAUUUUUAUUUUCUUUUACAGCUAUGACCGUGAACCCUUCUACGAACCUUUUAUGACUGAGUUUAUUGUCAGUUUCUUUCUUUCUCAGUUUCCCUAUUAUGCCACUUUUUUGCCCUAUCGGAAUUGUUAGUUGCUCGUGUUGUGGAGAUUUUGUUAGCUAUGAUUCGAGAUUCUGUUUUACCUCAUUGUCAUCUGUUUCUCCUUUUUAUGGUACUAGAUGCUUAUAAUAUUUUCUCCAUGUUUUUUCAUCAAAAAGUUAUCUUCUUCCUUGUGGUCACUGGUCAGGUAUCCUGCUUCUCUCCCGACUGCUCCAAUGCAGUCGAAAUUUUCAGCUUUAAUACAUAAAUUUCAGUUGUUUUCUGUUUCUUUCUAUUGACUCCAAAUGUUUGUAAGCAGAAGACUCCAAAUGUUUGUAAGCAGAACUUGCUCUCUGUUCCUACAAACAACGGACACGGGCCGUGAAGAACUCAUGCACCUCCUAGCCUGGCCCCUUCAUAAGGUAACUAGGUAAGUUUUCACCAACUUCAACCCAAUUUUAAUUCUAAAAUGUUUUACAAAUCAUUGUAAUGACAACAUAUUUCGUCAAUUUGUAACAAAAUAGACAUGCCCGGAAUGUCCCUAGCUAUUUUGGUGAUGGGUAUAUGAUCAUCUGGAGCAGAAGUUGGCUCCAUGUAUCGACCGGGCCAGGCAUGCACCAAUGCAAGCAAUCUCUAUAAUCAGGGGCAGAUCCAGGUUUGGUAGAUAGGAGAGGCUGAACUUGUUGAAAUAUAAAACUAGAAGGUAUUGCACGGGAUUUCGGGGACGGUAGCCCCGAGCCAAUUUUUUUUGGGCAGUUUGUACAGAUCGUUUUGUGUCUAAGUUUUGUGUCUAAGUAGAAUUUUAAUGUCUUUAGGAUUUAAAAAUCAAUCACAUAAUAUAAUACUCCCUUCGUCCCGGUCAAGACGCUAUAUUUAUUUUUCGACACGGGAUUUAAGGAGUUGUAGAUUAAUGUUUUAAGUGUGUAAUAAUAAAGUGAUAAAGUAGGAGAGAGAAAGUAAUAAAGUGAUAAAGUAAGAAAGAGAAUGUAAUAAAGUGAUAAAUAGGAUAAAGAAGGUAAUAAAGAAAUAUUUAAUUAGUGUUAAUUAGUGUUUAAAAUUUCUUAUUUUUGCCAAAUAUAGAAAUGUAACAUCUUCGAUGGGACGGCCCAAAAAGGAAUAUGUAGCAUCUUGGGCGGGACGGAGGGAGUAUAUAGUUGUACCUUUUUUAUUGAUUCAACAAUAGGUACAUUUGAAACACAUAAAGAACUACAUCUA
This 1695-nucleotide long non-coding RNA is filed under the name Salvia miltiorrhiza (redroot sage). RNAcentral's name for it is "long non-coding RNA (SMIL_LNC007052)". The record is from RNAcentral. Lineage: Eukaryota; Viridiplantae; Streptophyta; Magnoliopsida; Lamiales; Lamiaceae.